Gymnothorax javanicus (giant moray) is the source of this 74-nucleotide non-coding RNA. NCBI's taxonomy places the organism in Eukaryota, Metazoa, Chordata, Actinopteri, Anguilliformes, Muraenidae. The record is from the annotation of a GenBank genome assembly.
GGCACAGUGGAGCAGUGGUUAGCACUGUCCCCUCACAGCAAAAAGGUUGUGGGUUCAAAUCCCGGUUUGGGCCU